This 266-nucleotide ribosomal RNA is filed under the name uncultured bacterium. Its description in RNAcentral is "partial 16S ribosomal RNA". It matches the Rfam family "Bacterial small subunit ribosomal RNA", at positions 91 to 353 of the family's 1533-position model. The record is from RNAcentral.
CUUAGUGGCGAACGGGUGAGUAACGCGUGAGUAACCUGCCCUGGAGUGGGGGACAACAGUUGGAAACGACUGCUAAUACCGCAUAAGCCCACGGGUCGGCAUCGACCUGAGGGAAAAGGAGCAAUCCGCUUUGAGAUGGCCUCGCGUCCGAUUAGCUAGUUGGUGUGGUAAUGGCCCACCAAGGCGACGAUCGGUAGCCGGACUGAGAGGUUGAACGGCCACAUUGGGACUGAGACACGGCCCAGACUCCUACGGGAGGCAGCAUG